This 253-nucleotide ribosomal RNA is filed under the name uncultured bacterium. RNAcentral's name for it is "partial 16S ribosomal RNA". It matches the Rfam family "Bacterial small subunit ribosomal RNA", at positions 524 to 776 of the family's 1533-position model. The record is from RNAcentral.
UACGUAGGUGGCAAGCGUUGUCCGGAUUUACUGGGCGUAAAGAGCGCGCAGGCGGUCAGAUAAGUCGAAUGUGAAAGCCCCCGGCUCAACUGGGGAGGGUCAUUCGAUACUGUUCGACUCGAAGGCAGGAGAGGGAAGUGGAAUUCCCGGUGUAGUGGUGAAAUGCGUAGAGAUCGGCAGGAACACCCAGGGGGAAACCAGUCGACUGGGCAUCUACUGACGCUGAGGUGCGAGAGCGUGGGGAGCGAACCGG